GGAGAUGCCUGAGCUCAUCUUGACCUCAGAAGUUAAGC
This 38-nucleotide ribosomal RNA is filed under the name Anser brachyrhynchus (Pink-footed goose). The record is from RNAcentral. Lineage: Eukaryota; Metazoa; Chordata; Aves; Anseriformes; Anatidae.